CCUGGAGACCUUAUUAAGAUGCAGAUUCUGAUGAGCAGGUCUGGGGUGGGGCCAACAUUCUGCAUUUUUCACAAGCUCCCAGGUGAUGCUGAUGCUGCUGGUUC
This 104-nucleotide microRNA precursor is filed under the name Chlorocebus sabaeus (green monkey). Its description in RNAcentral is "miRNA (ENSCSAG00000026518.1)". The record is from RNAcentral. Lineage: Eukaryota; Metazoa; Chordata; Mammalia; Primates; Cercopithecidae.